Long non-coding RNA from Phyllostomus discolor (pale spear-nosed bat), 4188 nucleotides. RefSeq lists it as uncharacterized. The record is from RefSeq and is a predicted model, not a curated record. The transcript is spliced from 2 exons. NCBI's taxonomy places the organism in Eukaryota, Metazoa, Chordata, Mammalia, Chiroptera, Phyllostomidae.
CCUAUCUUGACCUUACAAUCCAAUGGCUCCUGAGUCGGUGGGAAUUCCAAGCCUGCCCUUGUCCAGUGUAUCCUGGUCACCUGCAGGCUUGUCUGUCCCUGAAGGUGAUGAAUAACAUCUCCAGUGGCUGACCUUAGCCCUGCAUUGGUGGUUAAACAGUUAACUGUUACUGGAGCAGUGAUUGCAAUGACAGUGCCUAGUUAUGUAGUGUAGUGUUCAGCACUGUCCUUAUGAGGAGCACAAGGGCUCCAAGAGGGCAACAGGGUCUCAAAUUACGUUCUGUAGAUCCCACUGAAUAGUAACAGAGAUCUUUUGGGGUUUUGUUUUCUCACAUGAUUUGGGUACAUCUAGAAUUGGCCUCCUCAACUAGAAAACUGUGUGUGUUAUGGGCAUGUGGUGUGGAAACUUUUUGGAGCAGUUCGAGCUGUUGUAGGUGCAUUAAUUGUUGGAAGUAAUAAUCUGUGUGGGGCGAUGGAAAAGCUGUGGUUUAGGGAACCUCUGUUCCUGUUCCCGUACUUCCUGGACACAUGACCUUGGACGAGUCUUUGGGGCCUUUAAUGUCUCCAUUUCUUCAUUUGUCAAACGAGAACCUUGUCUAUCUCACAGGCUUUCUUCUCUAAUUUGAGGAUUAAAUAAUGUAUAAAGAAGCAUUUGAAGAACUUGGAAUAUUUUCUCACUAGAAUGUAUUUAGUGCUGCUAUUUAGUAAGUAUUUAUAGGAUUGAAAUCUGGGCAGGAGAUUACUUUUUAUGAUUCUCAUGUUGCUUUAGAAACCGAGUAACUCUUAUUGAGGAAUUAUAUAAGUUUGUUUUCAUUGUCCAAGAUUAGGAAGUAUUUGCUGUAGUUUUCCUUUAGUUACUACUUCCCAGCCCUGAGUUAAAACUUCAUAUGCCUUUUGGUAUCAAUCUUCAGAAGGUGUCCAAACUUCCUUUUUUUUUUCUUCACAUCUUAGAAUGUUCCAAGUGACACCGCAUUGCUCCCUCCUUUUGCCUAGAUCUUGAUCUGUUCAUUCCAGCAGCUGACCCUUUAUGGGCCUUCUUCCUGUCCUUGUUUGUGUUCUCAGAGAAGGAAACAGUUAUGUAAACAAUUUUUUUAUCAAACACUGUUGCAAGUGUAAGGAGGUGACUUUUAAGAGAGCCAGAGCAAUAGAACUUACGGUGAAGGUGCUGUGUCUACUUUAGUGAGCUUACUCCUGUCGGAGCUCCGAAGGGGGCGCUCUCCCCGAUUCUGUCGCCUUCUCACCACCUUCACUUCCAUCGCCCUUGCCCAGGAUGCCACCAUUCUCACUCGACUUUUGCACAUUACUGAUAUCCAUGCUUCCACUUCUUCCUUCCUGCGGUCCAUUCUCCGUUCAUCAGCUUGUAUCUUGUUUAAAGCAUAAAUGAAGCCAUGUCACUCCUCUGCUUAAAACCUACCAAUGUCAUCCCAAUGCAGUUAGGAUAAAAUUCAACUUGUUUCUGCCGCCUCCAGGCCCUGUGUGAUCCAGCGCCCCCCUUGCUUGCCCACUCUGACCCCCCUCCAACGAAGUAUCCCUAGCCACCUUGGCCUGCCUUCUUCUCUCAUGAAGACUCACCUCUCAUCUCAGUCUUUCAAUUUGCUGUUAUUUCAUCCUUCAGUGCUGUCUGUCUGCUUUAGAUCUUGUGGUUGCAUCGCCUCAUCAUUUAAUUGCCAGGGAAAUGUUGAUUUCUUCUGGAAAGUUUCCUGCCUGCCCUAGAGAAGCAACACAGGCACACGCGUGCACCCCGUGCUGGCAUUCUUUGGCACAGUGCCCUACUUUAUUUCCUAAGCAAACCCCAUGUCCUCUAAGAUGUAACUGUUGUUGCUGAUGUUCAUCCACCUCCCUUUAAUGGAGCAGAAGUUCCAAAGGCACUUUGUCGGGGGCACCACUCCAUCCAUAGUACCUGUCUCGCAGUAGGAGCACAGCUCUGAUAUUUGUAUGAAAAAAACAGUUACCGUGCAGCUGGAGUACAAUGGAUGCUGUGUGGUUGCUGUGGCUGUGAUUUUGGGUGCUUCCUGCAGCCUGGUUUCUUUUUGCCCUGUGGCCUUACAGCUGUCUCCCUCCCUGCCUUCCUUGUGGCAUAAGGGUAUUAGGGCUAAAAUGGGAACUCAUAAUUUUAUGUUUGUUUCCUUGGGAGCAAAGAGAAUAAUUAAUUGUAACUUGAAAAACAGAAUUGAGAUACCUUUACAUUCCUUAUCACCAAGGUAUUUUAUAGGCACCUGUCUGCUUUGUUUUCAUAAUGGAAAAUUUUGAUAGCUGAUCUCUCUCCUUCUUCCUAACCCCAUACAAUUUUUGCCGUCUCUCUUUUUUAGUAUGCAAAUUGUCUUUAAUCUUGAUAAAAUUCUAUAAGCCUUAGACUUUGAUGUGAUAUGCAUAAAUGUUUUGAAUUUCAUUUUAAUCUUCUUAGGUUAUCCAAUUUUAACAAAUUUUAUCAGAGUUUUAUAAGUCAAAAGUCACACAGAAGCAGAAAAAACCCUGCUCUUAGAAGGGCUCUAUCAAUAGUAAAAAUAUUUGUUACUUUAUUUUUCUUUGUAAACUGGUCACUACAAUUCUCGUGUGGAACACUUAGCAUGUUUAGAAGUAUGCCCUUGUAGGGGUUCGCCCCAGAUUAGGGUUCUUCCACGUGGAAGCGAGCCUCCCCUGUGGCCUUGCGCCUCCAGAUAGUCAUCUGCUGUGAUGUGACGCACAGCCGUCUGUGAGGAAGUGCCCUCCCUGUCUGGGGGUGAGUCUGAGACAUUUUUAAAGAAUUAUGUAUACACAUUAGUGUGUUAGACUUGCCGGACACCGUGUUCAAAUGUUCUUUCAUUUUAUAAAAUGGACUGCUUCAAUGAUAGCCAGCUAGAUCUUUAGAUACUAACACACUGGGAAGUAGAACUUGGUUAUGACUUAAUGACUUAAGACUGAGAUGAGCAAAUAUGUUUUUAGUCUUUUGGGUUGCAUUGUAAAUGCUGUUUACAUUUAUAUAAUAUAAUAAAGUGCAUUUAUUACUAUCUAAUGCAACAAAAUCGUUGCUGUAAUCAAGUAAUAAUUACUAAAAUAUAGAUUGUCAUUAAUGAUUAAUACUACUGAGGUUACUACUAGCACAUAUUUUAAACAUUAUUUUAACAGCUGUGAUUAACGGAAGUUUGAAUUUUAGUAACUGAGUAAACUGUGGCUAUUUCUGCAGAGGUUGGGUGUGCACGCAAUGAUUCUCAUGAACUUUGAGAUAAAUUAUACAACUUGAUCUUCUAUAAAAGUAUCUUAAAUACAACAGAAAGCUUAUGGUGCUGAUGCUUGCUGUCUUGUAGUAUGUGGCUGCGUGUCCUUUUGUGUUGUUUUGCCUCCGUUCCAUUUAACAGUCAGUAUGGUGCUUCCUGGUGUCUCUCCCCUUACCGAGCUCUGUACCUCUUAGAACUAAUCUCCUGUCUCACUUGGUCCUCCUGCUGGUCCGUGUCCUCGAGUGCCAGAACAGCCACUGUUGUUUCUGCCUUCCUAGCGUUUUGUCGUUUGCUAGACCUUGACUCUUCUCAUCUGGUGCCAUGAGUUUCUCAAGGGCUCAAGGCCACCACUGUUUGAAUUUAGACGGUUCUUUAGUUAUGGCUUCAUUUCAAAGACUAUUUUUCCUUUUUUAGAACUUGGUUGUUAGUGAACAUAACAUCAAUAAUGGAAAAAGAAGUGGAUUUAAAGUGGAAGGAAUAAGGUCUCGUCAUGAUACUGGAAUUUCAUGGCCUUGAGCAAGUCACUUUAACCUUUUUUUAACCUCUGUUGCCUCUUUCAUCAAAUGGAAAUGAUCAUACCUCCCUCACAGGGUUGUUGUUUAAAAAAGUGAAAAUGUCCUAUAAGUAUUAUCACCUGUCAGAGGACUCUGAUUUACGCCAAACAUGGACUUUUCAAAGUAAAAACUAAUUCACACACAAUUCAAAAUAUCAGACUUUUGUAUUUUCUUUUGUAUUCAUUUUUAUUUUAUUUUCAUUGACUUUUGUAUCCACUUUUAUUAUUUGAUGUGUUUUUUUUCUGCUACUAGAAAAUACUUCGUACCUCAGGAAUGUUUUGAAGGAGGACUGGUCUUGCCCAGGUCCUUGUGGGGCCUGAAUGGGCACCCCUCCCAGGAGGAAACUGGGCUUUGAUGACUGGAAAAGUCCCUGAUGUUGAUUGGCAACUUGGCCCACUCCUCUUUCUUCAUAAAAAGCAGAAGCAUCUGGCAGUGGACCUG